CAGUAGUCAUAUGCUUGUCUCAAAGACUAAGCCAUGCAUGUCUAAGUUUAAGCGAUUUAAACGGUGAGACUGCGGACGGCUCAUUAUAUCAGUUAUAGUUUAUUUGAUGGUCGAUUACUACAAGGAUAACCGUAGGAAUUCUAGAGCUAAUACUUGCACUUCAAGGUGAUUUAAUCAUCACCUGCACUUAUUAGAUUUACCACCAAUGCUCUUCGGAGCUUCGGUGAUUCAUAGUAAUUUAGCGGAUCGCUACGACUUCGGUCGCGACGCUUCAUUCAAAUUUCUGCCCUAUCAGCUUUCGAUGGUAGUGUAUUGGACUACCAUGGCUUUGACGGGUAACGGAGAAUUAGGGUUCGAUUCCGGAGAGGGAGCCUGAGAAACGGCUACCACAUCUAAGGAAGGCAGCAGGCGCGCAAAUUACCCAAUCCCAACGCGGGGAGGUAGUGACAAGAAAUAACAACAACUAACCUAUUUCAGGUGAGUUGAUUGGAAUGAGUACAAUCUAAACACCUUAACGACUAUCCAUUGGAGGGCAAGCCUGGUGCCAGCAGCCGCGGUAAUUCCAGCUCCAAUAGCGUAUACUAAUGUUGUUGCAGUUAAAAAGCUCGUAGUCGGAUUUCAGUAGGCUCAGUUUAGUCUUCAUUGUAAGAUCUAUAUGGGCCUGCUUCUUUGACAGAAACUUCUAUGUUAUUCAUUUAGCGUGGGCAGCGACUGUCUCUUUUACUUUGAGAAAAUUAGAGUGUUCAAAGCAGGUAGAUGCCUGAAUAUUACUCUUGGAAUAAUGCUAUAAGACUUUGGUUCUAAUGUAUUGGUGAUUGGGACCAGA
RNAcentral lists this ribosomal RNA (826 nucleotides) under Phyllostaurus cuspidatus. RNAcentral's name for it is "SSU rRNA". It matches the Rfam family "Eukaryotic small subunit ribosomal RNA", at positions 18 to 861 of the family's 1831-position model. The record is from RNAcentral. Lineage: Eukaryota; Acantharea; Arthracanthida; Phyllostauridae.